ACGAACGCUGGCGGCGUACUUAACACAUGCAAGUCGUACGAGAAAGGAGACUUCGGUCUCUGAGUAAAGUGGCGCACGGGUGCGUAACACGUAAGUAAUCUACCCCGAACUCUGGGAUAACUCUCCGAAAGGAGGGCUAAGACUGGAUAGGGUCCCUGAGGUGUAGGCUGCAGGGGGAAAACGGGCCUCUGUUUCAUGCUCGUGGUUUGGGAUGAGCUUGCGGCCCAUUAGCUUGUUGGAGGGUAAUGGCCUACCAAGGCGACGAUGGGUAGCUGGUCUGAGAGGAUGAUCAGCCACACUGGCACUGAGACACGGGCCAGACUCCUACGGGAGGCAGCAGUGGGGAAUUUUGCGCAAUGGGCGAAAGCCUGACGCAGUAACGCCGCGUGGAGGAUGAAGGCCUUGG
This 406-nucleotide ribosomal RNA is filed under the name uncultured bacterium. RNAcentral's name for it is "bacterial SSU rRNA". It matches the Rfam family "Bacterial small subunit ribosomal RNA", at positions 29 to 420 of the family's 1533-position model. The record is from RNAcentral.